Molecule: ribosomal RNA, 303 nt
Filed under: Triticum aestivum (bread wheat)
Lineage: Eukaryota; Viridiplantae; Streptophyta; Magnoliopsida; Poales; Poaceae
Description: partial small subunit ribosomal RNA
Source: RNAcentral
AUGGAGGUCCAGAUGGAGUUGGACCAGUUCCGUCGCUUCGUCGACAAGAAGAUGGUGCUCGGCGCCUCCGAGAUCGACCACCUCCGCGCCGUCGCAUUCGCCGCGUGCGGUACCUCGCCCGCAUCUGCUCCAGGCUCCGCGUCUACCAAUAGGCAUGCCUCCGCCUCGGCAUCUGGCUCGCUGACAGGGAUGAAGGCGAGGAGCAGGAUCAUGAGGAUGAUGAUUACUGCCCGGAGUUCCGAUGCUAAAACGGGGAGUACUAUGAGACGGGCAGGAGGGAAGCGAGGAGGAUUUCGUGGGUGA